GAUUGAACGCUGGCGGCAUGCCUUACACAUGCAAGUCGAGCGCGAAAGGGGGCAACCCCGAGUAGAGCGGCGGACGGGUGAGUAACACAUCGGAACGUGCCCAGUAGUGGGGGACAACCUCGAGAAAUCGAGGCUAAUACCGCAUACGACCCACGGGUGAAAGCGGGGGACCGCAAGGCCUCGCGCUAUUGGAGCGGCCGAUGUCCGAUUAGCUAGUUGGCGGGGUAAGAGCCCACCAAGGCGACGAUCGGUAGCUGGUCUGAGAGGACGACCAGCCACACUGGGACUGAGACACGGCCCAGACUCCUACGGGAGGCAGCAGUGGGGAAUUUUGGACAAUGGGGGCAACCCUGAUCCAGCCAUGCCGCGUGCGGGAAGAAGGCCUU
Molecule: ribosomal RNA, 386 nt
Filed under: uncultured bacterium
Lineage: Bacteria
Description: bacterial SSU rRNA
Rfam family: Bacterial small subunit ribosomal RNA
Source: RNAcentral